RNAcentral lists this ribosomal RNA (465 nucleotides) under uncultured bacterium. RNAcentral describes it as "partial 16S ribosomal RNA". It matches the Rfam family "Bacterial small subunit ribosomal RNA", at positions 28 to 507 of the family's 1533-position model. The record is from RNAcentral.
GACGAACGCUGGCGGCGUGCUUAACACAUGCAAGUCGAACGGAAAGGCCCCUUUUGGGGUACUCGAGUGGCGAACGGGUGCGUAACACGUGAGUAACCUGCCCUUGACUUCGGGAUAACUUCAGGAAACUGGGGCUAAUACCGGAUAGGAAUCCUUGCUGCAUGGUGGGGGGUGGAAAGCUUCGGCGGUUUUGGAUGGACUCGCGGCCUAUCAGCUUGUUGGUGGGGUAGUGGCUUACCAAGGCUUUGACGGGUAGCCGGCCUGAGAGGGGGACCGGCCACAUUGGGACUGAGAUACGGCCCAGACUCCUACGGGAGGCAGCAGUGGGGAAUAUUGCACAAUGGGCGGAAGCCUGAUGCAGCAACGCCGCGUGCGGGAUGACGGCCUUCGGGUUGUAAACCGCUUUCAGCAGGGGCGAAGCUUGUGGUGACGGUACCUGCAGAAGAAGCACCGGCUAACUACGUG